Molecule: non-coding RNA, 833 nt
Organism: Pelobates cultripes (western spadefoot toad)
Lineage: Eukaryota; Metazoa; Chordata; Amphibia; Anura; Pelobatidae
Source: the annotation of a GenBank genome assembly
CUUUUGUAUAUAUAGUCUUGGGCCAAAUGCUCGCCACAAUAAUAUAUGUCUAUAUUAUUGAAAAUUAGUAAUACGCAAUCUGACGUUCUUUAUAAAAAAUGAGUAUUUAUUCUACAUUCAGCAGGAAACAGUUAUAUAUACUUAACAGAUGGUAAUUCUUAAUGAUGUUACAGAGAGUCGUCUUGACAUCAGAGAGGAGAGCAAACGGAUCGUAGCAGGAAGAGCCCGUAAUCCUUUGUCCUUGACUCUAUAUACCCCAAAUUACGUCAUAAUGUUUAGUUUAGACCCUGCCAUAUAAGGAAGUUCCCUAUAUAAAGACCGCCUCAAAUCUCUUAUACAGCAAAUUCCAGAGACCUCAUAUUACAGAGUAGCAAACACCAUCUGUUCUGUUUAACCCAUUAGACAGCCACACCUUAAUAUGUAUUUGAAUAGGAACAUACAGAAUAUGCAAUAUUCUACAUUUCCCUCUGUUUAUGGUUUAUUUAUAAACCAUAAUAAUGUUAUUUACCUGUCCAUUCAUACAUCAUUCGUAUCACAUUUUAUAUCACAGUCGUUGGGUAUAAGAAGAGAUGUGUUCAUAGCUACCCGGUAUCUGAGAUUCCUUGGAAGUAUUGUGUAUUACCCUGUUUACAGUUUCCUUUAGUGUAUUCUCCUUCUGUUUAACCUUUUCAUUUAUGAGUAUAUACAGUUUUCUAAUUCUACAUUGCAUAAUUACUUGUAAAACAAUACAUAUUAUAGAUACACAUACAACAAUAAUAAAUGGAUGAAAUAAAAUAUUUACAAUUGCUGAUCCUACAGAUGAUUUAGCAAGUGUGUUUGUACUUUUAAUUAUG